UACGGGGGGGGUAAGCGUUGUUCGGAAUACUGGGCGUAAAGGGCUCGUAGGCGGCCAACUAAGUCGGACGUGAAAUCCCUCAGCUUAACUGGGGAACUGCGUCCGAUACUGGAUGGCUUGGAUUUGGGAGAGGGAUGCGGAAUUCCAGGUGUAGCGGUGAAAUGCGUAGAUAUCUGGAGGAACACCGGUGGCGAAGGCGGCAUCCUGGACCAAUAUUGACGCUGAGGAGCGAAAGCCAGGGGAGCAAA
This 248-nucleotide ribosomal RNA is filed under the name uncultured bacterium. RNAcentral's name for it is "partial 16S ribosomal RNA". It matches the Rfam family "Bacterial small subunit ribosomal RNA", at positions 524 to 772 of the family's 1533-position model. The record is from RNAcentral.